This 217-nucleotide ribosomal RNA is filed under the name Symphytum x uplandicum (Russian comfrey). RNAcentral's name for it is "internal transcribed spacer 2". The record is from RNAcentral. Lineage: Eukaryota; Viridiplantae; Streptophyta; Magnoliopsida; Boraginales; Boraginaceae.
AUCUCGUCACCGCAUCAUUAAUUUUUGUGUAUCGGUGGAAUGUGACCUCCUGCUCCUAGUUGUGCAGUUGGUUAAAACUUGAGUAUGUGGAUUAUGACUUCAUGACAAGUGGUGGUUGGAUAACAACUCUCGUCAUGUCGUGUGCCAAGCCCACGUUACUUUCAAGACCCUAUGGUGCAAGUUACCCUCAUUUUUUUUGUUGGAAACAUGUUCUAUG